CCUACGGGUGGCAGCAGUGGGGAAUAUUGCGCAAUGGGCGAAAGCCUGACGCAGCGACGCCGCGUGAGGGAUGAAGGUCUUCGGAUCGUAAACAUCUGUCAGAAGGGAAGAACGGUCACUGUGCUAAUCAGCAGUGAAUUGACGGUACCUGCAAAGGAAGCACCGGCUAACGACGUGCCAGCAGCCGCGGUACUACGGAGGGUGCGAGCGUGCAUCGGAAUUACGGGGCGUAAAGCGCUCGUAGGCGGUAUGUCAAGUCAAGGGUGAAAUCCCCGCGCUCAACGUGGGAACUGCCUUUGAAACUGGCAAACUGGAGUGUGUGAGAGGAUAGUGGAAUUCCAGGUGUAGGAGUGAAAUCCGUAGAUAUCUGGAGGAACAUCGGUGGCGAAGGCGACUAUCUGGCACAUAACUGACGCUGAGGAGCGAAAGCGUGGGUAGCAAACAGGAUUAGAUACCCUGGUAGUC
This 465-nucleotide ribosomal RNA is filed under the name uncultured bacterium. Its description in RNAcentral is "partial 16S ribosomal RNA". It matches the Rfam family "Bacterial small subunit ribosomal RNA", at positions 338 to 795 of the family's 1533-position model. The record is from RNAcentral.